RNAcentral lists this ribosomal RNA (433 nucleotides) under uncultured bacterium. Its description in RNAcentral is "partial 16S ribosomal RNA". It matches the Rfam family "Bacterial small subunit ribosomal RNA", at positions 29 to 507 of the family's 1533-position model. The record is from RNAcentral.
AACGAACGCUGGCGGCAUGCCUAACACAUGCAAGUCGAACGAGACCUUCGGGUCUAGUGGCGCACGGGUGCGUAACGCGGGGGAACCUGCCCUUAGGUUCGGAAUAACUCCCCGAAAGGGGUGCUAAUACCGGAUAAUGUCUUCGGACCAAAGAUUUAUCGCCUUUGGAUGGGCCCGCGUUGGAUUAGCUAGUUGGUAGGGUAAAAGCCUACCAAGGCGACGAUCCAUAGCUGGUCUGAGAGGAUGAUCAGCCACACUGGGACUGAGACACGGCCCAGACUCCGACGGGAGGCAGCAGUGGGGAAUAUUGGACAAUGGGCGAAAGCCUGAUCCAGCAAUGCCGCGGGAGUGAGGAAGGCCUUAGGGUUGUAAAGCUCUUUGACCCGGGAUGAUAAUGACAGUACCGGGAGAAUAAGCACCGGCUAACUCCGUG